RNAcentral lists this ribosomal RNA (392 nucleotides) under Aplanochytrium sp. RNAcentral's name for it is "partial small subunit ribosomal RNA". It matches the Rfam family "Eukaryotic small subunit ribosomal RNA", at positions 582 to 975 of the family's 1831-position model. Lineage: Eukaryota; Bigyra; Thraustochytrida; Thraustochytriidae. The record is from RNAcentral.
AUUCCAGCUCCAAUAGCGUAUAUUAAAGUUGUUGCAGUUAAAAAGCUCGUAGUUGGAUUUCUGGUAGGAGCGACCGUGCCGAACUUGAUUGUUCGUGUAUUGUGUUGUCUUCAGCCAUCCUCGUGGAGAACUUUUCUAACAUUAACUUGUUGGGAUUGGGACCCGCGUCGUUUACUGUGAAAAAAUUAGAGUGUUUAAAGCAGGCAUUAGCUUGAAUACAUUAGCAUGGAAUAAUAAGAUAGGACUUUGGUACUAUCUUGUUGGUUUGCAUACCAAAUUAAUGAUCAACAGGAACAGUUUGAGGAUAUUCGUAUGAACAUGUCGGAGGUGAGAUUCUUGGAUUUUGAUCAGACGAACUACUGCGAAAGCAUUUAUCAAGGAUGUUUUCAUCA